RNAcentral lists this ribosomal RNA (253 nucleotides) under uncultured bacterium. RNAcentral's name for it is "partial 16S ribosomal RNA". It matches the Rfam family "Bacterial small subunit ribosomal RNA", at positions 524 to 776 of the family's 1533-position model. The record is from RNAcentral.
UACGAAGGGGGCGAGCGUUGUUCGGAGUUACUGGGCGUAAAGGGCGCGUAGGCGGCGGACCAAGUUAGGCGUGAAAGCCCCGGGCUCAACCUGGGAAUAGCGCUUAAGACUGGUUUGCUUGAGUGCGGGAGAGGUGAGUGGAAUUCCCAGUGUAGAGGUGAAAUUCGUAGAUAUUGGGAAGAACACCAGUGGCGAAGGCGGCUCACUGGCCCGCAACUGACGCUGAGGCGCGAAAGCGUGGGGAGCAAACAGG